UGGUAGUGGUGGUGGUGGGAUGGUGGUGGUGGUGGAACGCGAUAGAGUUUGGCCGAUGGUGCAGUCAACGUCGGGACCGGCAUCUCAAAAGACGCACGCGUCUCUUGUCGUAUCCGUGCACGGUUAAACGAUAAACAACGUUAGUUUCGCGUAAAUUAAAGAAGGGAAAGAACAUCGUUGACAUUCUCCAUUAACCGUAAGAAAUUUUUAUCAAAGUGAACGUUCGUUUUUAUGAACGGGAAGGAGUGUAAAUUGAAAAGAAGAAAAAAUUAGAAGAAGAAGGAGAAGAAGAAGAAGAAGAAGAGGAAGAGGAAGAAUAAGAGGAAGAAAAAGACGAUGACGAUGAAAAUAUCGAAAAAGAAAACGUUAUCGUCAUAGUUGUUGUUCGAUAUGAAUAAUCUUCGAUAAUUUUUCUUUUCCUCUCUUUGUACAUUUUUUUUAUUUUAAUUAUUACAUUGUUAAAAUGUUCGAGGUGAUAUUACACGAACAGUGAUAAAUUUGUUGACACUAGAAGGGAAGGACAGUGGUGGUAGUGGUGGUGGUGUGACGUUAAGGUAUUUAAAAAAAAAAAAAAAAAAAGAAAAAAAAAGAAAGGAAAAAGAAAAAUCGAAGCGAUAAAGUAUCACCUUCAACUCUAUCGAUCGUUCGAAGUUUACGAUUUGCAGUAGGAAGAUACCUUUUUGGAUUGUGUGCUGACGUGAAAGAUUUAGUUGGAUUUAUAAAAGAAAGAAAGAAAGAAAAAAGAAAGAAA
This 751-nucleotide long non-coding RNA is filed under the name Polistes fuscatus (common paper wasp). Its description in RNAcentral is "uncharacterized LOC122521220, transcript variant X6". Lineage: Eukaryota; Metazoa; Arthropoda; Insecta; Hymenoptera; Vespidae. The record is from RNAcentral.